Molecule: ribosomal RNA, 404 nt
Filed under: uncultured bacterium
Lineage: Bacteria
Description: bacterial SSU rRNA
Rfam family: Bacterial small subunit ribosomal RNA
Source: RNAcentral
GACGAACGCUGGCGGCGCGCCUAAUACAUGCAAGUCGAGCGAGAAGGUGUAGCAAUACACUUGUAAAGCGGCGAACGGGUGAGGAAUACAUGGGUAACCUACCCUCGAGUGGGGAAUAACUAGCCGAAAGGUUAGCUAAUACCGCGUACGCUUCCGGGACUGCGGUUCCGGAAGGAAAGCGAUACUGUGAGUAUCGCGCUCUUGGAUGGGCUCAUGUCCUAUCAGCUUGUUGGGAGGUAACGGCUCACCAAGGCUUCGACGGGUAGCUGGUCUGAGAGGACGAUCAGCCACACUGGCACUGCGACACGGGCCAGACUCCUACGGGAGGCAGCAGUAAGGAAUAUUGCGCAAUGGACGACAGUCUGACGCAGCGACGCCGCGUGGGGGACGAAGGUCUUCGGAUU